This 2794-nucleotide ribosomal RNA is filed under the name Escherichia coli. RNAcentral describes it as "partial 23S ribosomal RNA". It matches the Rfam family "Bacterial large subunit ribosomal RNA". The record is from RNAcentral. Lineage: Bacteria; Pseudomonadati; Pseudomonadota; Gammaproteobacteria; Enterobacterales; Enterobacteriaceae.
GGUUAAGCGACUAAGCGUACACGGUGGAUGCCCUGGCAGUCAGAGGCGAUGAAGGACGUGCUAAUCUGCGAUAAGCGUCGGUAAGGUGAUAUGAACCGUUAUAACCGGCGAUUUCCGAAUGGGGAAACCCAGUGUGUUUCGACACACUAUCAUUAACUGAAUCCAUAGGUUAAUGAGGCGAACCGGGGGAACUGAAACAUCUAAGUACCCCGAGGAAAAGAAAUCAACCGAGAUUCCCCCAGUAGCGGCGAGCGAACGGGGAGCAGCCCAGAGCCUGAAUCAGUGUGUGUGUUAGUGGAAGCGUCUGGAAAGGCGCGCGAUACAGGGUGACAGCCCCGUACACAAAAAUGCACAUGCUGUGAGCUCGAUGAGUAGGGCGGGACACGUGGUAUCCUGUCUGAAUAUGGGGGGACCAUCCUCCAAGGCUAAAUACUCCUGACUGACCGAUAGUGAACCAGUACCGUGAGGGAAAGGCGAAAAGAACCCCGGCGAGGGGAGUGAAAAAGAACCUGAAACCGUGUACGUACAAGCAGUGGGAGCACGCUUAGGCGUGUGACUGCGUACCUUUUGUAUAAUGGGUCAGCGACUUAUAUUCUGUAGCAAGGUUAACCGAAUAGGGGAGCCGAAGGGAAACCGAGUCUUAACUGGGCGUUAAGUUGCAGGGUAUAGACCCGAAACCCGGUGAUCUAGCCAUGGGCAGGUUGAAGGUUGGGUAACACUAACUGGAGGACCGAACCGACUAAUGUUGAAAAAUUAGCGGAUGACUUGUGGCUGGGGGUGAAAGGCCAAUCAAACCGGGAGAUAGCUGGUUCUCCCCGAAAGCUAUUUAGGUAGCGCCUCGUGAAUUCAUCUCCGGGGGUAGAGCACUGUUUCGGCAAGGGGGUCAUCCCGACUUACCAACCCGAUGCAAACUGCGAAUACCGGAGAAUGUUAUCACGGGAGACACACGGCGGGUGCUAACGUCCGUCGUGAAGAGGGAAACAACCCAGACCGCCAGCUAAGGUCCCAAAGUCAUGGUUAAGUGGGAAACGAUGUGGGAAGGCCCAGACAGCCAGGAUGUUGGCUUAGAAGCAGCCAUCAUUUAAAGAAAGCGUAAUAGCUCACUGGUCGAGUCGGCCUGCGCGGAAGAUGUAACGGGGCUAAACCAUGCACCGAAGCUGCGGCAGCGACACUAUGUGUUGUUGGGUAGGGGAGCGUUCUGUAAGCCUGUGAAGGUGUGCUGUGAGGCAUGCUGGAGGUAUCAGAAGUGCGAAUGCUGACAUAAGUAACGAUAAAGCGGGUGAAAAGCCCGCUCGCCGGAAGACCAAGGGUUCCUGUCCAACGUUAAUCGGGGCAGGGUGAGUCGACCCCUAAGGCGAGGCCGAAAGGCGUAGUCGAUGGGAAACAGGUUAAUAUUCCUGUACUUGGUGUUACUGCGAAGGGGGGACGGAGAAGGCUAUGUUGGCCGGGCGACGGUUGUCCCGGUUUAAGCGUGUAGGCUGGUUUUCCAGGCAAAUCCGGAAAAUCAAGGCUGAGGCGUGAUGACGAGGCACUACGGUGCUGAAGCAACAAAUGCCCUGCUUCCAGGAAAAGCCUCUAAGCAUCAGGUAACAUCAAAUCGUACCCCAAACCGACACAGGUGGUCAGGUAGAGAAUACCAAGGCGCUUGAGAGAACUCGGGUGAAGGAACUAGGCAAAAUGGUGCCGUAACUUCGGGAGAAGGCACGCUGAUAUGUAGGUGAAGUCCCUCGCGGAUGGAGCUGAAAUCAGUCGAAGAUACCAGCUGGCUGCAACUGUUUAUUAAAAACACAGCACUGUGCAAACACGAAAGUGGACGUAUACGGUGUGACGCCUGCCCGGUGCCGGAAGGUUAAUUGAUGGGGUUAGCCGCAAGGCGAAGCUCUUGAUCGAAGCCCCGGUAAACGGCGGCCGUAACUAUAACGGUCCUAAGGUAGCGAAAUUCCUUGUCGGGUAAGUUCCGACCUGCACGAAUGGCGUAAUGAUGGCCAGGCUGUCUCCACCCGAGACUCAGUGAAAUUGAACUCGCUGUGAAGAUGCAGUGUACCCGCGGCAAGACGGAAAGACCCCGUGAACCUUUACUAUAGCUUGACACUGAACAUUGAGCCUUGAUGUGUAGGAUAGGUGGGAGGCUUAGAAGUGUGGACGCCAGUCUGCAUGGAGCCGACCUUGAAAUACCACCCUUUAAUGUUUGAUGUUCUAACGUUGACCCGUAAUCCGGGUUGCGGACAGUGUCUGGUGGGUAGUUUGACUGGGGCGGUCUCCUCCUAAAGAGUAACGGAGGAGCACGAAGGUUGGCUAAUCCUGGUCGGACAUCAGGAGGUUAGUGCAAUGGCAUAAGCCAGCUUGACUGCGAGCGUGACGGCGCGAGCAGGUGCGAAAGCAGGUCAUAGUGAUCCGGUGGUUCUGAAUGGAAGGGCCAUCGCUCAACGGAUAAAAGGUACUCCGGGGAUAACAGGCUGAUACCGCCCAAGAGUUCAUAUCGACGGCGGUGUUUGGCACCUCGAUGUCGGCUCAUCACAUCCUGGGGCUGAAGUAGGUCCCAAGGGUAUGGCUGUUCGCCAUUUAAAGUGGUACGCGAGCUGGGUUUAGAACGUCGUGAGACAGUUCGGUCCCUAUCUGCCGUGGGCGCUGGAGAACUGAGGGGGGCUGCUCCUAGUACGAGAGGACCGGAGUGGACGCAUCACUGGUGUUCGGGUUGUCAUGCCAAUGGCACUGCCCGGUAGCUAAAUGCGGAAGAGAUAAGUGCUGAAAGCAUCUAAGCACGAAACUUGCCCCGAGAUGAGUUCUCCCUGAC